UUUAAAGUCUAGCCUGCCCAAUGAAUAUUGAAUGGCCGCGGUAUAUUGACCGUGCAAAGGUAGCAUAAUAAUUAGUUUUUUAAUUGGAAGCUGGAAUGAACGGCUGGACGAGAAAGCGACUGUCUCUGUUUUAUUAAUAGAAUUUUAUUUUUAAGUGAGAAAGCUUAAAUUGACUUAAAAGACGAGAAGACCCUAUAGAGUUUAAUAUUUUAUUUUGUAGUUAUUUAUAGGUAGUUUUAUUCUUGCUAUUUGUUAAAAUAUUUUGUUGGGGUGAUGGGAAAAUUUGUUAAACUUUUUCUUUUUUAAAACACUUAUUUGUGUAUAUUUGAUCCAUUUUUAGUGAUUAUAAGUCUAAAUUACCUUAGGGAUAACAGCGUAAUUUUUUUUAGAGUUCUUAUCGAAAUGAAAGUUUGCGACCUCGAUGUUGGAUUAAAAUUAAUAUUUGGUGUAGUAGCUGAGUUAUUGGGUCUGUUCGACCCUCGAAAUUUUACA
Molecule: ribosomal RNA, 492 nt
Filed under: Camenta sp. DA3661
Lineage: Eukaryota; Metazoa; Arthropoda; Insecta; Coleoptera; Scarabaeidae
Description: partial 16S large subunit ribosomal RNA
Rfam family: Bacterial large subunit ribosomal RNA
Source: RNAcentral